This 573-nucleotide ribosomal RNA is filed under the name Clostridium carboxidivorans. RNAcentral describes it as "bacterial SSU rRNA". It matches the Rfam family "Bacterial small subunit ribosomal RNA", at positions 7 to 597 of the family's 1533-position model. Lineage: Bacteria; Bacillati; Bacillota; Clostridia; Eubacteriales; Clostridiaceae. The record is from RNAcentral.
GAGCGUUUGAUCCUGGCUCAGGACGAACGCUGGCGGCGUGCUUAACACAUGCAAGUCGAGCGAUGAAAUCCCUUCGGGGAUGGAUUAGCGGCGGACGGGUGAGUAACACGUGGGCAACCUGCCUCAAAGUGGGGGAUAGCCUUCCGAAAGGGAGAUUAAUACCGCAUAACAUUAGUUUUUCACAUGAAUUACUAAUUAAAGGAGUAAUCCGCUUUGAGAUGGGCCCGCGGCGCAUUAGCUAGUUGGUGAGGUAACGGCUCACCAAGGCCACGAUGCGUAGCCGACCUGAGAGGGUGAUCGGCCACAUUGGAACUGAGACACGGUCCAGACUCCUACGGGAGGCAGCAGCGGGGAAUAUUGCACAAUGGGCGAAAGCCUGAUGCAGCAACGCCGCGUGAGUGAUGAAGGCCUUCGGGUUGUAAAGCUCUGUCUUUGGGGACGAUAAUGACGGUACCCAAGGAGGAAGCCACGGCUAACUACGUGCCAGCAGCCGCGGUAAUACGUAGGUGGCGAGCGUUGUCCGGAUUUACUGGGCGUAAAGGAUGCGUAGGCGGAUGUUUAAGUCAGAUGUGA